RNAcentral lists this ribosomal RNA (535 nucleotides) under uncultured bacterium. RNAcentral's name for it is "bacterial SSU rRNA". It matches the Rfam family "Bacterial small subunit ribosomal RNA", at positions 28 to 526 of the family's 1533-position model. The record is from RNAcentral.
GAUAAACGCUGGCGGCGCACAUAAGACAUGCAAGUCGAACGGAAAUCGUCUUACUAAUUAUUGAAGAGAGGUUUGAUUUAUCUAACUAAUUGGAAGUAGUUUUUAAGACAUAUGAUUUUAGUGGCGGACUGGUGAGUAACACGUAAGCAACCUGCCUAUCAGAGGGGAAUAACAGUGAGAAAUCAUUGCUAAUACCGCAUACCUUGUUUUUAUCGCAUGGUAAGAAUAAGAAAGGAGCAAUCCGCUGAUAGAUGGGCUUGCGUCUGAUUAGCUAGUUGGUGGGGUAAAGGCCUACCAAGGCGACGAUCAGUAGCCGGACUGAGAGGUUGAACGGCCACAUUGGGACUGAGAUACGGCCCAGACUCCUACGGGAGGCAGCAGUCGGGAAUAUUGCGCAAUGGAGGGAACUCUGACGCAGUGACGCCGCGUAUAGGAAGAAGGUUUUAGGAUUGUAAACUAUUUUAGUCAGGGAAGAAAAAGACGGUACCUGAAGAAUAAGCUCCGGCUAACUACGUGCCAGCCGCCGCAGUAACAC